UGGGAUGUUUUGGGUUUGAUGAAGUGUGCAUAAAGGUUGUGAAUGAUCAACAAGGAAUCGAUCACUCUUUGAAAGAGGAGAGAACAUUCUAUGUGAUCUCAUAGGAUGAUGACUCAGAGAGUCUCUAGUCAGAGCGAGGAUGAAUAGUAAAAAAUAUUUUUACUGAUUCAUUAAUCAAAUCAUCAUCAUCAGAUCGAGACAUAUAUAGAUAGAUAUUUGGGCUUGAUAUGAUUUC
RNAcentral lists this long non-coding RNA (235 nucleotides) under Elaeis guineensis (African oil palm). RNAcentral's name for it is "long non-coding RNA (EGUI_LNC065468)". Lineage: Eukaryota; Viridiplantae; Streptophyta; Magnoliopsida; Arecales; Arecaceae. The record is from RNAcentral.